RNAcentral lists this ribosomal RNA (131 nucleotides) under Drosophila ananassae. RNAcentral describes it as "5.8S ribosomal RNA". Lineage: Eukaryota; Metazoa; Arthropoda; Insecta; Diptera; Drosophilidae. The record is from RNAcentral.
UCGAUGAAGAACGCAGCAAACUUCAGGACACAUGAAGAUCGACAUUUUAAGUGAAUAUCGCAGCCAACUCUGGCAAAAGAAAUGGGACAACCGGAAAACAAAAUAGCGCAGUAAGUAGAGUGUGAUGUGUG